This 463-nucleotide ribosomal RNA is filed under the name uncultured bacterium. Its description in RNAcentral is "partial 16S ribosomal RNA". It matches the Rfam family "Bacterial small subunit ribosomal RNA", at positions 28 to 507 of the family's 1533-position model. The record is from RNAcentral.
GACGAACGCUGGCGGCGUGCUUAACACAUGCAAGUCGAACGGUGAACCUCUUCGGAGGGGAUCUGUGGCGAACGGGUGAGUAACACGUGGGCAGCCUGCCCCCGGCCUUGGGAUAACUCCAAGAAAUUGGGGCUAAUACCGGACUUUUACCGCUUCCCGCAUGGGUGGUGGUGAAGAGGGUUUCCGGCCGGGGCUGGGCUCGCGGCCCCUCUGCCUGUUGGUGGGGUAGUGGGCUACCAAGGCGACGACGGGUAGCCGGCCUGAGAGGGUGACCGGCCUCACUGGGACUGAGAGAGGGCCCAGAGUCCUACGGGGGGCAGCGGGGGGAAAUCUUGCGCAGUGGGCGGGAGCCGGAGGAGGCGACGCCGCGUUGGGGAUGCCGGCCUUUGGGUUGAAAACCGCUUUCGGCUGAGACGAAGCGGAAGUGACGGUACCUGCAGAAGAAGCACCGGCCAACUACGUG